Long non-coding RNA from Pomacea canaliculata, 4479 nucleotides. RefSeq lists it as uncharacterized. The transcript has 3 exons. The record is from RefSeq and is a predicted model, not a curated record. NCBI's taxonomy places the organism in Eukaryota, Metazoa, Mollusca, Gastropoda, Architaenioglossa, Ampullariidae.
AUUGACUGUUCUAGACUCGCCGUCCUGUCAUGGGUCCCUUCAACCUAACGAUUUUCCUUGGCCUUGAUUUUUUUCCAGUCAAUGCCGUUAAGGUUAUGACAACCCAGCUGGUUUUUAUUUAUAAAGUGGUGAUUAUUGAUUUCGUGUUUGUUGGGGUGUGGCGGGGCGUAUUAAGGAAAGGACGUGUGACGUGCGACAUAAUAAUAAUACAACUGUGGGUGUUGGCGUUGCCAGGACUUCAGUCGUGUAACAGCCGGCGCAAGCAAGACACUUCACGACUGUAGUAUAUGCUUUCAUGUUUUAGACAUAUCUUGGAAUGAUCUGGAUAUUAACUGUUCCCACUUUGCCCAUACCUGAAAAACUAUUUCCCCCGUGCCUCAGGUGUUUCAGACUUACACGCACGCAUGCUCUCUCUCUCUUGAAUAGAAAAAUACACAGAGCCACGUGACUACUAUUGUAAACACUUCAACACCACAGGCGUGUUACCUUGACCUCAGUAUUGCUAGCUAAACAGCUCUUGUCGGUUUUUCGUUACAAUUCUAUUGACGGCCAAGGUUGCUGUGAUUAUAUAGAGAUACACUUCCAGAUUGGCUGUGGCUGAUAAGUCCAGAGAGUUAAGCGAGAGGAAAGGUUACUGAUCCUUUUUCUCGCUUCUAUCAUUAGUAUUUCUGCAUCGUUCACUUCACCCCCUCUCCUACUCUCCUCCGGAAGAAUCUGACUCAAAAGAUGCACAUUGCAGAGUCAGAAAUACUUUCGAUUGUGGCUGCAUGAACCCACGGCUGCUUCUUGAAGAUGUCACGGAGGAGGGCGAGGGGAUAACUACUGGACCUGUCUGUGACGUGUCUGCAUCUCGCGGUGUAACACAUACAGACUUUAUUUUAAUCGCUCACAGCGUCUGCGACAAGUCACACUUGUCACGUGCAGUGCGGCGUCUAAAUGCAGGUGCUGCAAGUCACGUGUGCUGAGCUUUGUGUUCGCAAGAUUGUGUUUCGUACGAGAUUUUGUUGCAACACGAAGCUAGCUCACAGCGCCGGGCGGGAUGACAUGUCAAUACUGAGUAAACAGGAUACAUUCAUUGACAACAUUAUAUACACACUUUUUAUGAAUAGCAGUUGUCUGCAAGGUAGUUUAUGUAAAGUGUUUCUUUACUGGUUUAGAACUGUUUACAUUAAACAAAUUAUUUGAUGUAGGAAGUUAUGUAUGGUAGUACAUUAGGGUGGGCCACUUAAAGAUUGAGAACGCUCUUGGGACUUGGAGCAGUUGAGUUAUAUUUAUUUAUGAAAAUCCCGAGACCACAGAAAAAUUAUUUUACCCCUUUUUUGUACAUUUCAAAUAACAGUUUUUUUUUUUAAUUAGUGGCACACCUUAUAUUAGUAUAUGACACAUAACUUUUGUCCGUAAACCAGUCGCAGUACAGUAAUUUUCACAUUUCAACAAUACGGAAGAACGUUGAGGAAGCAUUUCCCAUCUUGCUGGAGUGUUAACGACAAUAUUGUUGAUUAAUAUUACAUUUUACAUAUUAGAUAUUACAUUUCCCACAAGUCUUACUUCGUGCAGUUGACUUAAGUCAACUUAAGUUUAUAUUUCUGGUCAGUGAAGUAGAAAAAUAAAUGUAUAUACUAAAAACGUUUAAUACAGAUAUAUUGUGCUUGUAAAUAUCUAGGUGAUGUUCAAUGUAUGCAGCAGUCCUGCCAAAAAAAAAAGUAGCAAACUCCCCAACUGUCUCCAAAAAUUACGUUUCUUUUCUUACAGAAACUAGAGUGGAGGCUACCCCACAAUUUUCUAUCUACUUUUUUCGUGGCUUUAUGCAAACAAAUGAUAAUGGAAUAAAGUUUAAAGAAGGAAACAAAUUACAUUUCCCUACGAUGACUGCACCUUUUCUAUCCCAUCUUUCACAGAGUUAAAAAUAACCAAUUCUGAACAAGAUUGGUCAAGAAUUAUUUUCGUAAUUUCAAUCAACAGCUUUAGAGAAUAACUAUGACAGAUUUAACACACCCUGCCCGAGGUAGCGACAUCUUGCUUCCGCUUUGACAUCAGUCUCGCACGUUCAGUGGAAACUAUCCGACACGGUCUGUUGCAUCUAAUGAGGCACAUAAGGUUCCGCAGCUGGCGUAACAAAUAGAAGAGUUUGAGCCUGUCGUACUUUGAAAGAGUUCUGACGUCACCAGGCGCCAUCUUGGCAGUCCAGCUGUCCAACAUAUGUGAUGAACAUGAUCAUGGAAUAGUUUUCCGACUUUCCUAUUACGCGUGCCCCAAAUCCCCACGGCGCAAAGGCAACUGAAAACAAGGCAACGAUUAGUACCAGGGCGACGAUUUCAUUACAGAAUAGUUGUCUGUUUAAAUUAACUUCCGGAAGAGCGUCUCGGCACAAACUUGUACGUCUCGGCUGCACGAUACGAUUUGGUCUCGUCAUCUGCUGUAAAGAAUCUGACAUCGCAGGGAAGAGGUGCCAAUUGCACCGAAGCAGACCGGGUGAUCAAUGUCGCAUCAUGCUCAGGUUGACGAUGUAAACAUGUCGUGGUGCUUACAGCUAAGCAUGCUGAGCUCGUCGUCUCGGACUUACUGUCGUGUUGUGACUGCUUGUACAAGACUAAGCCUCUUCAGGUGUUCACAUCCCUCUUCCACCUUAAAUCCUUCCCUUUGCUUCCUUCCCUAUCCUUCUGACUGCCUACUUUUUUUGCUUUUUACGAACAGACUUGCUUUGUAUGACUUUUUGCAUGAUUUCACUCAUAAAACUGCCAGUAAAUUUCAACAAUGGAGGAUAUUUGCGAGAUAUCUUAUGUUCAGUAAAAAGAUAUACGAUCUUGAAAUCCAACCGCGUUUUCAGCUCGUUUCUGCCGCUCGAGUUUGUGUGUGCACUGAGCAACGACUGUAAACACCAGAAAGCUGAAGUGGUAGAGAGAGAGAGAGAAACGGAGAGAGAAGACUGAUUACAACAUCUAUAACUACUAUUUCCUAUCAAAGCUGAGCAUCACGGGACUAAGCUGACAUGGUAAAUGGCCUUUGACGAACUAUGUCGACUUGGAUGUCUAGGACUAACACUGUGUACCAGAAGAUAAAGAGACGAAAAUAAAAGCACAACAAAAUUUGCCUCAGAAGACUGUUGGACCCCUGCAAAUCUGCGAUUUUGUUUGGUGGUGGUGGUAGCUCUGUUGUUUGCUGUUGGGUUUUGUUUUUGUUUUUUGUUUGUUUGUUUGUUUGUUUGUUUUGGGGGGUCAUCUUUUACAGAUGUAUUAAUCAUACAAUCCUGACCAGAUAUGUAUACUGGACCUGUGUGCAUAUGUGUGUGUUUGUGUGUCUGUGUUGUUCUUCUCGAUGAUACUUUACUAUUUCUGUCAAAGUCUAAUAUUUUUUUUUCUUUAUUCACCUGUCUCGGUACUCAAAUCUGUAUCAGAUUUCAUCUAUUACGCUAUUUUUGUCUCAUCAGUCAAAGCCGUGUUACGUGCUGUCGUCCACAUCGCUCUCUCACCACUCACAUUUAAUUCCUUUAUUGAUUCACGGUCUACAUCAUCCUAGAAAAAUAUCUCUGUUUCUAGUCUAAGUAAUUUACUACAAUUAUACAGACUAAUAUAUCAUUUAUACAAAUGGUAGUGUGUGCUGGCCUGCCUAAUAGGACGAGGAAGAUUAAUUGGAGGUUUCCUGAUUAAUCUUUGUCGGCGCGAGAAUAUCUAAUGUCUGUGGCCUAAUCUGCGCAGGAAAGAGUGUCAAGAGUGGCCGCUCGUGCCAAUGUUCCCAGACGUGUCCCUGUCGGUCUGCUGGUUGUGCGGGGAUCCCAGACAGGAUGGCCGCCGCACCGUGUGAAGGUUGUACCGAAGGGAUCCAAGUAUGCUCUGUACCUGGAAAUUGUACUUGCAGUAAGAAGUGUACAGGGAAGCUGUAGUCAGUACAGAGCACUAUCCUCGACAAGCUCAGUCAUGGCGGACAAAGUUCAUUUUGAAAAGCUUGGCUGAAUCUUUCUUUCCAAUUAAAAAAAAAGGCGGUCUACGUCUGGAACUGUCUGUCGACGGGACAGCAGUAGAUGUUAAUUAGGUCUACGUAACAAGCAAUCUUUUAUUCACGAACUAAAAACAUCGCACUAAAAUGUGUACACUUGUGGAGUGAGGUGAGGACUCCUCUAUCUCAUAACUUCCAUUUCAAAAAGUUUAUUUAGGAUUAUAAAAUAUAUUUGUAUGUGUUAGAGAUAUCUUAUCAUGUUUUAUAGUUAUUUUUCUUGUCCAUUUUUAUCUUUGAGUCUGAUAAUUACGAUAAUUUAUUAAUUUAGAGAGUCACUUACACAAGGAAACGUCUAGUAGAGGUGAAGGGGUAGUCCGCUAAGUACCCUCCAUUUCAGCUAACUUGGACAUAGAAGUGUACUGAGACAGAAAUCGUUGGCGUAUUGAAAAACAGUGUGCUUUGUAUUUGAGUGUCACCUGUUGUGUUGUUUGUAGACCUCGCUUGUUGGAGUGGGGGAGGGGAUAUGAAUUAGCUUGCAGUUUCACC